GACGAACGCUGGCGGCGUGCUUAACACAUGCAAGUCGAACGCUGAAGCUUGGUGCUUGCACUGGGUGGAUGAGUGGCGAACGGGUGAGUACUACGUGAGUACCCUGCCCUUGACUCUGGGAUAAGCCUGGGAAACUGGGUCCAAUACUGGAUACGACAUGUCACCGCAUGGUGGUGUGUGUAAAGGGUUUUACUGGUUUUGGAUGGGCUCACGGCCUAUCAGCUUGUUGGUGGGGUAAUGGCUCACCAAGGCGACGACGGGUAGCCGGCCUGAGAGGGUGACCGGCCACACUGGGACUGAGACACGGCCCAGACUCCUACGGGAGGCAGCAGUGGGGAAUAUUGCACAAUGGGCGGAAGCCUGAUGCAGCGACGCCGCGUGAGGGAUGACGGCCUUCGGGUUGUAAACCUCUUUCAGCACGGAAGAAGCGAAAGUGACGGUACGUGCAGAAGAAGCGCCGGCUAACUACGU
This 471-nucleotide ribosomal RNA is filed under the name uncultured bacterium. RNAcentral's name for it is "partial 16S ribosomal RNA". It matches the Rfam family "Bacterial small subunit ribosomal RNA", at positions 28 to 506 of the family's 1533-position model. The record is from RNAcentral.